CUGGGAUACCACUUGGAAACAGGUGCUAAUACCGGAUAACAACAAUAGCUGCAUGGCUAUUGCUUAAAAGGCGGCGAAAGCUGUCGCUAAAGGAUGGACCCGCGGUGCAUUAGCUAGUUGGUAAGGUAAUGGCUUACCAAGGCGACGAUGCAUAGCCGAGUUGAGAGACUGAUCGGCCACAUUGGGACUGAGACACGGCCCAAACUCCCACGGGAGGCAGCAGUAGGGAAUCUUCCACAAUGGGCGAAAGCCUGAUGGAGCAACGCCGCGUGAGUGAAGAAGGUUUUCGGAUCGUAAAGCUCUGUUGUUGGUGAAGAAGGAUAGAGGUAGUAACUGGCCCCUAUUUGACGGUAAUCAACCAGAAAGUCACGGCUAACUACGUGCCAGCAGCCGCGGUAAUACGUAGGUGGCAAGCGUUGUCCGGAUUUAUUGGGCGUAAAGCGAGCGCAGGCGGAGAGAUAAGUCUGAUGUGAAAGCCCCCGGCUUAACCGAGGAAUUGCAUCGGAAACUGUGUUUCUUGAGUGCAGAAGAGGAGAGUGGAACUCCAUGUGUAGCGGUGGAAUGCGUAGAUAUAUGGAAGAACACCAGUGGCGAAGGCGGCUCUCUGGUCUGUAACUGACGCUGAGGCUCGAAAGCAUGGGUAGCGAACAGGAUUAGAUACCCUGGUAGUCCAUGCCGUAAAC
Molecule: ribosomal RNA, 683 nt
Filed under: uncultured bacterium
Lineage: Bacteria
Description: bacterial SSU rRNA
Rfam family: Bacterial small subunit ribosomal RNA
Source: RNAcentral